RNA transcript from Anopheles stephensi (Asian malaria mosquito), 4863 nucleotides. RefSeq lists it as uncharacterized. The record is from RefSeq and is a predicted model, not a curated record. The transcript is spliced from 2 exons. NCBI's taxonomy places the organism in Eukaryota, Metazoa, Arthropoda, Insecta, Diptera, Culicidae.
AAUUUCAAAAUGACUAACUUAGGUGAUAUACAUAAUUUUCUCGGAAUUGAAGUUGUAAAAGGUAAAAAAGGGUACAAGUUAGGACAAUCAGAGUACAUCAGGAAACUUGUAAAGAGAUUUAACUUGGAAAAUGCAAAACCUUCGCGGAUACCAAUAGAGCUAGGUUAUUUAAAGCAGAAGGAGGAGGAUUGUGAGCCUUUCUCGGACAAUAAGAACUAUCUGAGUCUCAUUGGCGGUCUGCUUUACAUUGCAGUUCAUACUAGAUGAGAUAUCGCCAUAAGUACAUCCAUUUUGGCACAAAAGUCAAGUAAACCCAAUCAACAAGAUUGGAUAGAGGCGAAAAGAGUUUUACGGUAUCUGAAUGCGACCAUUGAUUACAAGUUACAGCUAGGUUCGACAAAUGAUCAAGUACAAAUGUACGUAGACGCCGACUGGGCUAGCGACACCAACUUGGAGUUCUCGAAAACAAACCUGCGUUGCUUUAAGUUCAACUGAAGCAGAGUUUGUGGCACUAGCUGAGGGUUGUCAAGAGCUGAUAUGGACAAGACAUUUGCUAGAAGAAAUAGGAGUAGUAAUAGAACAGCCGAUUGAGGUAUUUGAAGACAAUCAGAGCUGUAUAAAAAUGGUAAACAGCGAACGUAUUGAGAGACGAAGCAAACACAUUGAAACCUGUUAUUUCUUUGUACGCGAUUUACAACAGAAACAAAUGAUAAACGUAACAUAUUGUCCUACGGAAAUGAUGUAGGCGGAUUUGUUAACAAAGCCUCUAGCGCGUGUUAGAUUAAGUAAAUUGCGUCAGGAAAUUGGACUGGUUGAGUGUUAGUAGCUUAGUUCGAGGAGGAGUGUUGGUGGAUCGAACUGACAGUUAAGAACUAACCGACAAACGUCAAAUGGUUGAUACUUGUACAACCUGGACAUUAUGUAUAUUCAUGUAAAUAAAUGUUCUCUCUUGAGUCUAAUGUAAAGCAGAGCAGACGUGCGUUUCUAAUAGAAUUAGUACCAAAACCGGAAGGGAAGAAUUUGGUAAACUGCAAAUGUGUUCUUAAAAUUAAGCGUGAUGAGGCUGGUAAUGUAGAUAGAUACAAAGCUAGGCUAGUAGCUAAAGGUUGCUCUCAAAGAAAAGGGUUUGACUACGCCGAAACAUAUGCACCCGUAGCGAAAAUAACCACUGUUAGAACGCUGUUGGCUGUGGCCAACAAGAGAGGGUAUUAUAUACAUCAAAUGGAUGUGAAAAUCGCCUUCUUAAAUGGUUUGCUUAAGGAAGAGAUUUGUGGCGACCACUGUGCAGACAGGAACCAAUGGUUUGCACCAACUGGGAACUGUCGGUAAAUCGAGAUGUCAACUUUGACAGUUACCGCGCCGGCAAAGACACACCAUCUACAACCAUAGUCGCGUGCGGUAGUGUUCUCGAGCGAAUGUGAUAAAAAAUAGUUUACCGAUCCCAAAUUAAAAAAGUAGCAAAUAAAAAUAAUAAAAAAGCUAAAGAUUUAUAUGAAGCAACGGGAAGGGUAGCGUAGCGAACACCCAAAUAUGGUUUGCAAAUUACGCAAGGCUUUAUAUGGCUUGAAGCAAGCUCCUAGGAACUGGAACGAAAAAUUUGAUUGGUUCAUAACAAGUAUCGGCUUUACGCGGUCGAGUGUAGAUACUAUUGAAUAACAAUAUCCGCUAUAGAACACUGUGCGAUCCUGCUAUAAAUUAUAGCACAUGACAAAACUGACAUUUAGACUUUAAGAUAGGUUAACGGAAAUGUUCAUUACCACGUUUCAAUCUGUUAAUCUUCCCUACAACGGUCUAGGAAUCAUUUCCUCAAUAGGCUAUGGGCCCAGGGUUCGUGUAUAAAGAAAAGGAAUAAACGUGUGUGGUAAUCUGUGAAAAUGGCAGACCGGGAGUCGGAGCUAGUGAGGAUUCCGAUGUUUGACGGUACUAAUUUUCCAUCAUGGAAGUUCCGAAUGUUAACAGUGCUUGAAGAGCAUGACUUGCAAGAGUGUUUGGAACAGGAGGUGGAAGAAAUAGUGACGCUGAUGAUCAAGGACGAAGACAGCGAAGCCGUUCAAAAACAAAAGAAGCAUGAGGCGGAAAAGCGGCGGAAGAAGGAUCGUCGAUGUAAAUCGCUGAUUGUUUCCCGGAUUUGCGACAGCCAUCUGGAAUACAUACAGGAUGAACCAACACCAAAGGUGUUGUGUAUGGAACUGUCUUUUUUUUUGUAUUGUCCAACCUUCCAUCGAUCGAGUGUUGACGUUGACAGCCGAACUGUCAUUCGUGUGCUCUUCUUCUACUGCGUGACGCGGACUACCACGUUCUUUACGGAGUCAUUCGUUUAUUCAUUAUAAUUUUAGUUUAAUAAAUUAGCAGAACAUAACAUAAUAACAGAACAUUUUGGUGUCAGAAUUGGGAUUGAGAUCAGCUCGGUCCAAAUCAGUUCGAGUGCCUCUCUAAUUGCGAUCCAGAAACGUGCAGUGAUCCCGAGAAAAAAAGUGCGACCGAGACGCCUGAUCCAUCGUUAGCGUGCGUUAUACAAAAUGGCUACAAUCGACACCGAAAGCAUGAAAGCGCUGUCCGCCAUGAUUGCGCACGCUAUACAAUCCGCAAUUGGCACCGCCGUCGGGCUAGCCAAAGAAGUCAACGCAGCUUCUUCCCAACCGAAGGUUCCAUCCUUCUCCCACGAACCAUAUCAACGAACCGAAGGAAUGACCGUCGCCGAUUAUUUCGACAGGCUGGAAUGGGCGCUUCAGCUAAACAACAUUCCCAAGCAGAAAUACGCCGAUUACGCACGUGUGCAUAUGGGGUCGGAACUAAACACCGCUUUUAAGUUCCUCAUUACGCCGAAGAGCCCAGAAGAAGUACCGUAUUCCGAGCUCCGCUUAAUACUUCAGCAGCAUUUCGACGAGGCGAAAAACAAAUUCGUCGAAAGCAUCAAGUUUCGUAACAUACGGCAGCAGAAAGGUGAAACUAUCGCACAGUUUGUUUUGCGACUAAAACAAGGUGCAGCUCUCUGCGAGUACGGGUCGUUUCUUGACCGGAUGCUCAUCGAACAAAUGCUUCAUGGGUUCGAAGAUCGUGCAAUUUGUGACGCUAUCGUUGCAAAAAACCCAUCCACGUUUAAAGAAGCAUUUGACAUCGCUGUCACCAUGGAAGCGACACAUAAUACUGCACGAGAAGUAGGAGCUGUCUCUCCGGUACCAGAAACAACGCAUCGGCUAAGAUACGAAAAGCCGCGCAUCAAGAAACAACAGCCACGUCGAACAACCCCCGCUAAACGGAACCAUCAUCCUCGCAGUACCCACCUGAGUGUCACACCUCGUGAAAAUGUCUGCAAUGGUUGUGGUGAGCGUCACCUACGGAGCCAGUGCAAUUACCGCAACGCGCGAUGCAACAAUUGCAACCGUAAGGGACACAUUGCGAGGGUAUGUCGAUCUCAACAAAAAGUGUCUUCAUCUCCACCGGCUCGAGUGCAGCAUAGUUCCGACAUCGAUUUUAUACAGUCUCUGCAACACAUCCAUAACAUUCAGUCCUCGAACAAAUCCUUGAUAGACGUGCAAAUCAAUGGUCACCCCCUUACAAUGGAGUUGGACACCGGAGCACCCUGCGGAAUAAUCAGCGAAUCAACGCUUCGGAAGAUCAUUCCGAAUUAUUCUCUGCAACCCUCAGAUCGUCAAUUUUUGAGUUACACGGGUCAUCGCAUUAACUGCACUGGUCACCGGCUCGUUCAAGUAUCCGUUGGGGAAACUACUAAAAAUCUGUUCUUGUAUAUUGUAGCUGGCAAAUACGAGUCAUUGUUCGGACGCGAUUGGAUAGCACAGUUCGUCGAACAGAUUAACUUCCGUGAUUUGUUUACUACUGCAUCUACAGUAAACGCACUCUCGAGCAUAGAAUCAUCACCAGAGCAAGCAGCGCAAUUAUCUAAACUGCUAAAAGAUUUUGACGGCAUCUUCAGUGACGUUCCAGGAAUGCUAACGGGUCCACCAGCAAAGGCACACCUAAAACCAGACGCUACUCCAGUCUUCGCCCGUGCACGCGAUGUACCUCUUGCUCUACGCGAACGUUACGCCGGCGAAAUAGAUAAAAAGCUUGCGUCUGGAUUCUAUGAAAAAGUGGAUUUCUCAGAGUGGGCUUCGCCUACCCACAUCGUGAUGAAAAAAAACGGAAGCAUUCGGAUAACAGGGAACUACAAGCCAACCGUUAAUCCCAAGAUGGUUGUCGAUGAACACCCAAUCCCUCGAAUCGAAGAUAUCUUCAACAAGAUGAAGGGAGCAGCUCUGUUCUGUCAUCUCGACGUAACAGAUGCCUACACGCAUCUCCCUAUCGACGAAGAGUUCCGCCACGUUUUGACGCUGAACACAUCCACGCAUGGAUUAAUCCGUCCCAGGAGAGCGGUAUACGGAGCUGCAAAUAUACCAGCUAUUUGGCAGCGUCGUAUGGAAGCGAUUCUUCAAGACUCGACCAACAAGGUCAGUUUUUUUCGAUGACGUGAUCGUGUUCGCGAAGAACUUCGAAGAAAUGCUCUCAGCUCUUAACGCGACAUUGAAACGGAUGCAGCAAAACGGUCUUCGUCUUAAUCGUUCCAAAUGCAUCUUUGCUGCAACAUCGCUGGAAUGCCUGGGUCACCGCAUCGAUCGGCAUGGGCUACACAAAUCUGAUCGGCACAUCGCAGCUAUACGGGACGCACCAAAACCAUCUACACCCGAAAAACAUCAAUUGUUCCUUGGUGCUCCGCAUAUGGGUGGAGUAUGGGAGCGUAUGGUACGCUCAGUGAAAGCUGCAAUCAGCACGGUGAUGGAGGUAAAGAACACACCUGAUGACGAGACGUUCGAGACCAUACUGCAUGACGCUGAAGCUAUGAUCAACUCCAGACCUUUGACGUAC